RNAcentral lists this ribosomal RNA (494 nucleotides) under uncultured bacterium. RNAcentral describes it as "bacterial SSU rRNA". It matches the Rfam family "Bacterial small subunit ribosomal RNA", at positions 29 to 496 of the family's 1533-position model. The record is from RNAcentral.
AACAAACGCUGGCGGCGUGCCUAACACAUGCAAGUCGUACGAGAAAGUUGGCUUCGGCCGAUGAGUAAAGUGGCGCACGGGUGAGUAACGCGUGGAUAAUCUACCCUUUAGUCUGGAAUAACUUACCGAAAGGUGAACUAAUACCGGAUAAUAUGCCGAUUUCCCCGGAGAUCGGGAUCAAAGAAGGCUUCUGUUUACAUGCUUUUGCUGAAGGAUGAGUCCGCGUACCAUUAGCUAGUUGGUAGGGUAAUGGCCUACCAAGGUUAUGAUGGUUAGCUGGUCUGAGAGGAUGAUCAGCCACACUGGAACUGAGACACGGUCCAGACUCCUACGGGAGGCAGCAGUGAGGAAUAUUGCGCAAUGGGGGCAACCCUGACGCAGCAACGCCGCGUGAGUGAGGAAGGUUUUCGGAUUGUAAAGCUCUGUCGAGCGGAAAGAAAUGCAUUAUGGCUAAUAUCCAUAAUGCUUGACGGUACCGCUAAAGGAAGCACCGG